UGGGGAAUUUUGCACAAUGGGGGAAACCCUGAUGCAGCGACGCCGCGUGAUUUAGAAGGCCUUCGGGUUGUAAAAAUCUUUUUUACGGGAUGAAAAUGACAGUACCGUAAGAAUAAGGUCCGGCUAAAUACGUGCCAGCAGCCGCGGUAAUACGUAUGGACCGAGCGUUGUCCGGAAUCAUUGGGCGUAAAGGGUACGUAGGCGGCCUAGUAAGUUAGAAGUGAAAUAAUAUAGCUCAACUAUAUAAAGCUUUUAAAACUGCUAGGCUUGAGAGAUGGAAGGGAAAGUGGAAUUCCUAGUGUAGCGGUGAAAUGCGCAGAUAUUAGGAAGAAUACCGGUGGCGAAGGCGACUUUCUGGUCAUCAUCUGACGCUGAGGUACAAAAGCGUGGGUAGCAAACAGG
This 402-nucleotide ribosomal RNA is filed under the name bacterium. Its description in RNAcentral is "partial 16S ribosomal RNA". It matches the Rfam family "Bacterial small subunit ribosomal RNA", at positions 355 to 776 of the family's 1533-position model. The record is from RNAcentral.